Molecule: transfer RNA, 73 nt
Filed under: Bos taurus (domestic cattle)
Lineage: Eukaryota; Metazoa; Chordata; Mammalia; Artiodactyla; Bovidae
Also listed under: 5 other names
Rfam family: tRNA
About the family: Transfer RNA (tRNA) molecules are approximately 80 nucleotides in length. Their secondary structure includes four short double-helical elements and three loops (D, anti-codon, and T loops). Further hydrogen bonds mediate the characteristic L-shaped molecular structure. tRNAs have two regions of fundamental functional importance: the anti-codon, which is responsible for specific mRNA codon recognition, and the 3' end, to which the tRNAs corresponding amino acid is attached (by aminoacyl-tRNA synthetases). tRNAs cope with the degeneracy of the genetic code in two manners: having more than one tRNA (with a specific anti-codon) for a particular amino acid; and 'wobble' base-pairing, i.e. permitting non-standard base-pairing at the 3rd anti-codon position.
Source: Rfam by way of RNAcentral
UCCCUCAUAGUCCAGUGGUUAAGACUCUGCAAUUCCACUGCAGGAGGAACAGGUUCAACUCCUGGUCAGGGAA